CGUAGGUGGCGAGCGUUGUCCGGAAUUACUGGGUGUAAAGGGCGUGUAGGCGGGAAGACAAGUCAGAUGUGAAAUACCGUGGCUUAACCACGGGGCUGCAUCUGAAACUGUUUUUCUUGAGUGUCGGAGAGGAAAGUGGAAUUCCCAGUGUAGCGGUGAAAUGCGUAGAUAUUGGGAGGAACACCAGUGGCGAAGGCGACUUUCUGGACGAUAACUGACGCUGAGGCGCGAAAGCGUGGGGAGCAAACAGGAUUAGAUACCCUGGUAGUCCACGCUGUAAACGAUGGAUACUAGGUGUGGGAGGUAUCGACCCCUUCCGUGCCGCAGUUAACACAAUAAGUAUCCCACCUGGGGAGUACGGCCGCAAGGUUG
This 372-nucleotide ribosomal RNA is filed under the name uncultured organism. RNAcentral's name for it is "bacterial SSU rRNA". It matches the Rfam family "Bacterial small subunit ribosomal RNA", at positions 526 to 896 of the family's 1533-position model. The record is from RNAcentral.